AUUGAACGCUGGCGGCAGGCCUAACACAUGCAAGUCGAGCGGAUGAAGGGAGCUUGCUCCUGGAUUCAGCGGCGGACGGGUGAGUAAUGCCUAGGAAUCUGCCUGGUAGUGGGGGAUAACGUCCGGAAACGGGCGCUAAUACCGCAUACGUCCUGAGGGAGAAAGUGGGGGAUCUUCGGACCUCACGCUAUCAGAUGAGCCUAGGUCGGAUUAGCUAGUUGGUGGGGUAAAGGCCUACCAAGGCGACGAUCCGUAACUGGUCUGAGAGGAUGAUCAGUCACAUUAGAACUGAGACGCGGUCCAGGCGCCUACGGGAGGCAGCAGUGGGGAAUGUUGGACAAUAGGCGAAAGCCUGAUACAGCCAUGCCGCGUGUGUGAAGAAGAUCUUCGGAGUGUAAAGCACUUUAAGUUGGGAGGAAGGGCAGUAAGUUAAUACCUUGCUGUUUUGACGGUACCAACAGAAUAAGCACCGGCUAACUUCGUG
Molecule: ribosomal RNA, 484 nt
Filed under: uncultured bacterium
Lineage: Bacteria
Description: partial 16S ribosomal RNA
Rfam family: Bacterial small subunit ribosomal RNA
Source: RNAcentral